This is a long non-coding RNA of Leopardus geoffroyi (Geoffroy's cat), 1358 nucleotides long. RefSeq lists it as uncharacterized. The record is from RefSeq and is a predicted model, not a curated record. The transcript has 2 exons. NCBI's taxonomy places the organism in Eukaryota, Metazoa, Chordata, Mammalia, Carnivora, Felidae.
UUAAAAAAAAAAAAAAGGUAAAGAAGUAAAAGAAGACUGGAGACGUUUCCUGAGGCCAUGUCCCUCUCUGAGGUGGGAGAGGCAAGAUGUAGAGACAGCUAAUGUUUUUGCUCCUGCCUCAGUGGGUUUUCCUCCUGCUCUGAUUGGGGUCACACGGCCCAGAUGAUGACAAGCCAGAAAUGUAGCCUGGGUCCUGGAGUGUCACCUAGUCAACACUUGAUUUUCAAAAAGGAAUCCAUCAAGAUUGCCUUAGAUCAGGGGAAGUCACCUGAGUCCACUCCUGGGCACACUGAACCCCCCCCCCCCCCAAAUCUCUUUGUCUUUUCUCAGGGUUCUUAUUUGCUUAUCUUCAGUGAUUUAUGUGGGGGAAUCACUGAGAAAUUCACUGCCAGCGGCAGAGGUAGGAGCAUCAAAAGAGUCUUGGUUGGACUGGCUUCUCCCUACGUCAUGGACUUAAUUUUAUCCUAUGGUCUUCGACAUAGACUUAACCACAUUUUGUCAAUACAGGACCGUGAAAAAAGCUGCUGAAACACAAAGAACGGAAAACAGGAACUUGAAGCGAUAUUUAUAUUUCAAUAUUCGUAGCAGCAUCAUUCACAAGACCGAAAGGUAUUUACACAAGAGAAAUGAAAACAAAUGCCCACACAAGGACCAGUACACAAAUGUUCAGAGCAGUCUUAUUCAUAUGAGCUAAAAACUGGAAACAACACAAAUGUCCAUCAGUGGGUGAGUGGAUAAAUAGGGCAUAUCUAUGAAGCAGAACACUGCUAGCAAUAAAAAGGAACACGCUGCUGAUAUCCGUCAUUACGCUGAGUCAAAGAAGCCAGAAGCAAAAGGGUACAUAUUAUAUAAUGCCAUUUAUAUAAAAUUCUAGAAAAUGUAAGUUAAUCUGUGUGGUGACAAGACAGAUCAGCAAUGUGGAGCCCAGGGGUGGAGGAGGAAAUUACCACAUGGGGCAUAAGGAGACUUUGGGGGGCAAUGGAAAUGUUCUAUGUCUUAAUCGUGGCUGUGAUUUCUACACAUGUGUAUUCCUAUUAAAAGUCACCAAAGCGCACACUUUAAAAGGGUGUAGUUCAUUAUAUGUAAUUACAUCUCAAUCCAGUAGAAAAAAUCUAAUCACUUAAAUUAACAAAGGGCUUUCACUUGAAUCAGGUUUGUUGAAAACUUGAGCAUUAGGACCAAAGAAAAGCCGGAUCUGGAGGAGAAUAUGUACUAAAAGCUAUCAAAAUGAUUCUUUGGUCCAGCGUUUCCACAUCAGGAAAUUGAUUUUAAAGAAAUCACAAGAAUGUCCAUCCUCAUAUUACUCAUAAGGGACAAACUGAAAUGACCAAAUGGUUAAUAAAGGGCAUUAUGGCAUA